UAGUGGAAGCGUCUGGAAAGGCGCGCGAUACAGGGUGACAGCCCCGUACACAAAAAUGCACAUACUGUGAGCUCGAUGAGUAGGGCGGGACACGUGGUAUCCUGUCUGAAUAUGGGGGGACCAUCCUCCAAGGCUAAAUACUCCUGACUGACCGAUAGUGAACCAGUACCGUGAGGGAAAGGCGAAAAGAACCCCGGCGAGGGGAGUGAAAAAGAACCUGAAACCGUGUACGUACAAGCAGUGGGAGCCUCUUAAUGGGGUGACUGCGUACCUUUUGUAUAAUGGGUCAGCGACUUAUAUUCUGUAGCAAGGUUAACCGAAUAGGGGAGCCGAAGGGAAACCGAGUCUUAACUGGGCGUUAAGUUGCAGGGUAUAGACCCGAAACCCGGUGAUCUAGCCAUGGGCAGGUUGAAGGUUGGGUAACACUAACUGGAGGACCGAACCGACUAAUGUUGAAAAAUUAGCGGAUGACUUGUGGCUGGGGGUGAAAGGCCAAUCAAACCGGGAGAUAGCUGGUUCUCCCCGAAAGCUAUUUAGGUAGCGCCUCGUGAAUUCAUCUCCGGGGGUAGAGCACUGUUUCGGCAAGGGGGUCAUCCCGACUUACCAACCCGAUGCAAACUGCGAAUACCGGAGAAUGUUAUCACGGGAGACACACGGCGGGUGCUAACGUCCGUCGUGAAGAGGGAAACAACCCAGACCGCCAGCUAAGGUCCCAAAGUCAUGGUUAAGUGGGAAACGAUGUGGGAAGGCCCAGACAGCCAGGAUGUUGGCUUAGAAGCAGCCAUCAUUUAAAGAAAGCGUAAUAGCUCACUGGUCGAGUCGGCCUGCGCGGAAGAUGUAACGGGGCUAAACCAUGCACCGAAGCUGCGGCAGCGACACUAUGUGUUGUUGGGUAGGGGAGCG
RNAcentral lists this ribosomal RNA (903 nucleotides) under Escherichia coli. RNAcentral describes it as "partial 23S ribosomal RNA". It matches the Rfam family "Bacterial large subunit ribosomal RNA", at positions 330 to 1238 of the family's 2925-position model. The record is from RNAcentral. Lineage: Bacteria; Pseudomonadati; Pseudomonadota; Gammaproteobacteria; Enterobacterales; Enterobacteriaceae.